GGGCAUGGAGGCACAUACCCAUAGUACUUGCUACCAGAGAGGCUGAGGCUGGUAAUCUCUUGAUCUUGGGAGUUCUGAGCUGUAGUAGGUUAACCCCAUCAGGUGUCUACACUGAGUCUGGCAUCAAUAUGGCAAGGCUCAGGAGUGAGAAGCCACCAGGUUGCCUAAAGCAUAGGUUGGAAAUGGAGCAGGUCAAGGCUCCUGAGUCAAUCAACAGUGGGAUUGGACCCAUGAGUAGUCACUGCAUUUCUAGCCUAGACAAGAUAGGGAGAUCCAAUU
This 279-nucleotide signal recognition particle RNA is filed under the name Phascolarctos cinereus (koala). RNAcentral describes it as "Metazoan signal recognition particle RNA (ENSPCIG00000005431.2)". It matches the Rfam family "Metazoan signal recognition particle RNA". From Rfam's summary of the family: The signal recognition particle (SRP) is a universally conserved ribonucleoprotein. It is involved in the co-translational targeting of proteins to membranes. The eukaryotic SRP consists of a 300-nucleotide 7S RNA and six proteins: SRPs 72, 68, 54, 19, 14, and 9. Lineage: Eukaryota; Metazoa; Chordata; Mammalia; Diprotodontia; Phascolarctidae. The record is from RNAcentral.